Molecule: transfer RNA, 74 nt
Filed under: Thermoprotei archaeon
Lineage: Archaea; Thermoproteati; Thermoproteota; Thermoprotei
Description: tRNA-Met
Rfam family: tRNA
About the family: Transfer RNA (tRNA) molecules are approximately 80 nucleotides in length.
Source: RNAcentral
GCCGGGGUCGCCUAGCUGGCCUAGGGCGCCAGACUCAUAAUCUGGUCAUCGCGGGUUCAAAUCCCGCCCCCGGC